UACGAAGGGAACUAGCGUUGUUCGGAAUCACUGGGCGUAAAGCGUGAGUAGGCGGCUGUAUAAGUCAGAUGUGAAAUCCUUGAUCUCAAGUCAAGAACUGCAUUUGAAACUGUACAGCUAGAGAGUAGUAGGGGGUAAUGGAAUUCCAAGUGUAGAGGUGAAAUUCGUAGAUAUUUGGAGGAACACCAGUAGCGAAGGCGUUUACCUGGGCUACAACUGACGCUGAGUCACGAAAGUGUGGGGAGCAAACAGG
Molecule: ribosomal RNA, 253 nt
Filed under: uncultured bacterium
Lineage: Bacteria
Description: partial 16S ribosomal RNA
Rfam family: Bacterial small subunit ribosomal RNA
Source: RNAcentral